AAAAAGGCUUUUUUUUUUUUUUUUAAAGCCACAAAAUGAGACAUUGGAAUUAUCU
This is a non-coding RNA of Nestor notabilis (Kea), 55 nucleotides long. NCBI's taxonomy places the organism in Eukaryota, Metazoa, Chordata, Aves, Psittaciformes, Psittacidae. The record is from Rfam.